Molecule: ribosomal RNA, 608 nt
Filed under: Salmonella enterica subsp. enterica serovar Enteritidis
Lineage: Bacteria; Pseudomonadati; Pseudomonadota; Gammaproteobacteria; Enterobacterales; Enterobacteriaceae
Description: partial 23S ribosomal RNA
Rfam family: Bacterial large subunit ribosomal RNA
Source: RNAcentral
GCGUACACGGUGGAUGCCCUGGCAGUCAGAGGCGAUGAAGGGCGUGCUAAUCUGCGAUAAGCGCCGGUAAGGUGAUAUGAACCGUUAUAACCGGCGAUACCCGAAUGGGGAAACCCAGUGUGAUUCGUCACACUAUCAUUAACUGAAUCCAUAGGUUAAUGAGGCGAACCGGGGGAACUGAAACAUCUAAGUACCCCGAGGAAAAGAAAUCAACCGAGAUUCCCCCAGUAGCGGCGAGCGAACGGGGAGGAGCCCAGAGCCUGAAUCAGCAUGUGUGUUAGUGGAAGCGUCUGGAAAGGCGCGCGAUACAGGGUGACAGCCCCGUACACAAAAGCGCAUGUGCUGUGAGCUCGAUGAGUAGGGCGGGACACGUGGUAUCCUGUCUGAAUAUGGGGGGACCAUCCUCCAAGGCUAAAUACUCCUGACUGACCGAUAGUGAACCAGUACCGUGAGGGAAAGGCGAAAAGAACCCCGGCGAGGGGAGUGAAAAAGAACCUGAAACCGUGUACGUACAAGCAGUGGGAGCACCCUUUGGGUGUGACUGCGUACCUUUUGUAUAAUGGGUCAGCGACUUAUAUUCUGUAGCAAGGUUAACCGAAUAGGGGAGC